UGGGGAAUCAUGGUCAAUGGGCGAAAGCCUGAACCUGCGACGCCGCGUGAGUGAUGAAGGUCGUAAGAUCGUAAAACUCUUUUCAGGGAUCUUAAAGCCUGUCUGUCAACAACAGGCAGGUCUGACUCUCCCUGGAAGAAGCCCCAGCCAACUACGUGCCAGCAGCUGCGGUAAUACGUAGGGGGCGAGCGUUAUUCGGAAUUACUGGGUGUAAAGGGUAUGUAGGCGGCCUGACAAGUCGCGUGUCAAAGUCCAGCGCUUAACGCUGGGUUCGCACGCGAUACUGUCUGGCUAGAGGGCUGGAGAGGUGAGCGGAAUUCCCGGUGUAGUGGUAAAAUACGUAGAGAUCGGGAGGAACACCAGCGGCGCAGGCGGCUCACUAGACAGUUUCUGACGCUAAGAUACGAAAGCGUGGGUAGCAAACA
Molecule: ribosomal RNA, 425 nt
Filed under: uncultured prokaryote
Description: bacterial SSU rRNA
Rfam family: Bacterial small subunit ribosomal RNA
Source: RNAcentral